GCUAAUACAUGCAAGUCGAGCGGAGUUUUGAAAAGCUUGCUUUUCAAAACUUAGCGGCGGACGGGUGAGUAACACGUGGGCAACCUGCCCUUGAGACGGGGAUAACUCCGGGAAACCGGAGCUAAUACCGGAUAACACAUAUCUUCGCAUGAGGAUAUGUUAGAAGGUGGCUUUUAGCUACCACUCAAGGAUGGGCCCGCGGCGCAUUAGCUAGUUGGUGAGGUAACGGCUCACCAAGGCGACGAUGCGUAGCCGACCUGAGAGGGUGAUCGGCCACACUGGGACUGAGACACGGCCCAGACUCCUACGGGAGGCAGCAGUAGGGAAUCUUCCGCAAUGGACGAAAGUCUGACGGAGCAACGCCGCGUGAGUGAUGAAGGUUUUCGGAUCGUAAAGCUCUGUUGUUAGGGAAGAACAAGUAUCUGUUGAAUAAGCAGGUACCUUGACGGUACCUAACCAGAAAGCCACGGCUAACUACGUGCCAGCAGCCGCGGUAAUACGUAGGUGGCAAGCGUUGUCCGGAAUUAUUGGGCGUAAAGCGCGCGCAGGCGGUUCCUUAAGUCUGAUGUGAAAGCCCACGGCUCAACCGUGGAGGGUCAUUGGAAACUGGGGAACUUGAGUGCAGAAGGGAAGAGCGGAAUUCCACGUUGUAGGCGGUGAAAUGGCGUAGAAGAUGGUGGAGAACCACCAGGUGGCGAGGCGGCUUCUCUGUCUGUAACUGACCGCUGGCCGCGAAAGCGUGGGGAGCGACAGGAUUAGUACCUGUAUCCGCCGUAAACGAUGAGUCUAAGUGUUAGAGGGUUCGCCCUUAGUGCUGGCACAAGCAUUAACUCCCCUGGGGAGUACGGCCACUGAAUCAAAGAAUGCGGGGACCCGCCAAGCGGUGACAUGGUUUAAUCGAAGCAACGAGACUUCCAGGUCUGACUCCUCUCUCUUCUAGAGAUAGAAGGUUCCCUUCGGGGCAGAGUGCAGGUGGUCAUGGUUCUCAGCUCGGUGUGAGAUUUGGUUAAUCCCCAACGACCAACCUUGUCUUAGUCCACAUUCAGUUGGCACUAAGGUGACCGGUGCAACCGGAGGAAGGUGGGGGAGAGUCAAAUCUUCAUCCCCCUUAUGCCUUGGGUUCCCCACGUCUUCCAAUGGAUGGUCCAAAGGGUGGCAAAACCGGGAGGUUAACCCAAUCCCAUAAACCCAUUUUCAGUUGGGAUGUUAGCCUCCAAUUCCCCUCCAGGAACCGGGAAUCCUUGGUAAUCGGGGAUCACCAUGCCGCGGGGAAUAGGUUCCCGGUUUUGGUCCCCCCCCCCGGCCCCCCCAGGAGAGUUGGUACCACCGGAAGUGGGGGAGGUACCUUUUUGGAGCCAGCCGC
This 1363-nucleotide ribosomal RNA is filed under the name Bacillus sp. (in: firmicutes). RNAcentral's name for it is "Bacillus sp. (in: Bacteria) partial 16S ribosomal RNA". It matches the Rfam family "Bacterial small subunit ribosomal RNA". Lineage: Bacteria; Bacillati; Bacillota; Bacilli; Caryophanales; Bacillaceae. The record is from RNAcentral.